CAGUAGCCACGGGAAUACGGAGGGUGCAAGCGUUAAUCGGAAUUACUGGGCGUAAAGCGCACGCAGGCGGUUUGUUAAGUCAGAUGUGAAAUCCCCGAGCUUAACUUGGGAACUGCAUUUGAAACUGGCAAGCUAGAGUCUUGUAGAGGGGGGUAGAAUUCCAGGUGUAGCGGCGAAAUGCGUAGAGAUCUGGAGGAAUACCGGUGGCGAAGGCGGCCCCCUGGACAAAGACUGACGCUCAGGUGCGAAAGCGUGGGGAGCAAACAGGAUUAGAUACCCGCGUAGUCCCUGUCUCUUAUAC
Molecule: ribosomal RNA, 301 nt
Filed under: uncultured bacterium
Lineage: Bacteria
Description: partial 16S ribosomal RNA
Rfam family: Bacterial small subunit ribosomal RNA
Source: RNAcentral